CAGCCGCCGCGGUAAUNCCAGCCCCUCGAGUGGUGGGGAUGAUUAUUUGGUNUAAAGCGUCCGUANCCGGCUGAGUAAGUUUCCCGUAAAUCCAGCGUCUCAAGCGUUGGACUGCGGGAAAUACUGCUCAGCUAGAGAGUGGGAGACGUCAACGGUAUUCUGGGGGUAGGGGCGAAAUCCUUUGAUCCCCCGGAGGACCACCAGUGGCGAAGGCUGUUGACAAGAACACGUCUGACGGUCAGGGACGAAAGCUGGGGUAGCGAACCGGAUUAGAUACCCGGGUAGUCCCAGCCGUAAACGAUGCAUGCUAGGUGUUAGGUUGGCCACGUGCCACCCUAGUGCCGCAGGGAAGCCGUUAAGCAUGCCACCUGGGGAGUACGGCCGCAAGGCUGAAACUUAAAGGAAUUGGCGGGGGAGCACCACCAGGCGUGAAGCCUGCGGUUUAAUUGGAGUCAACGCCGGGAACCUUACCGGGAGCGACAGCAGAGUGAAGGCCAGGCUGAAGACCUUGCCAGACAAGCUGAGAGGAGGUGCAUGGCCGUCGCCAGUUCGUGCCGUGAGGUGUUCUCUUAAGUGAGAUAACGAACGAGACCCGUGCCACAUGUUGCCAUCAGAUCCUAUAGGGAUGCUGGGCACUUUUGUGGGACCGCAGCCGAUAAGGCUGAGGAAGGUGCGGGCAACGGCAGGUCAGUAUGCCCCGAAUCUCCCGGGCCACACGCGGGCUGCAAUGGUACGGACAGAGGGCUGCAACCCCGAAAGGGGAAGCCAAUCCCUAAACCGUAUCUCAGUUGGGAUUGAGGGCUGCAACCCGCCCUCAUGAACAUGGAAUGCCUAGUAACCGCACGUCAUCAUCGUGCNGUGAAUACGUCCCUGCCCCUUGCACAC
This 885-nucleotide ribosomal RNA is filed under the name uncultured archaeon. RNAcentral describes it as "bacterial SSU rRNA". It matches the Rfam family "Archaeal small subunit ribosomal RNA", at positions 459 to 1344 of the family's 1478-position model. The record is from RNAcentral.